This 675-nucleotide ribosomal RNA is filed under the name Triticum aestivum (bread wheat). RNAcentral's name for it is "partial small subunit ribosomal RNA". The record is from RNAcentral. Lineage: Eukaryota; Viridiplantae; Streptophyta; Magnoliopsida; Poales; Poaceae.
AUGGCGGGCCUAUUUUGGAAUGCAAGAGGGCUGGGUGAACCUGAAAAGAGAAGAUUUCUGAGGGAAUCUAUCUCGGAGCAUAGUUUAGAGUUUGUUUGUGUGCAAGAAACAAAAAAGAAGGACUUUGAUGAGGCUUGGUUGGCUGGAGUGAGUGGUAGAUUUACUUAUAUUUGGUUGUGGCAGCCCUCUUAAGGUGCUUCGGGGGGGCUGCUUAUGGGGGUUCGGGAAGAUCUGUUUGAGGUAGACGUCUGUAUUGCAGGAAGAUACAUGACCAGGAUGGUUAUUAUGGAUAAAAGAUCAGGAUUCAAGUGGAAUCUGAUCAAUGUCUAUGGAGCUGCUCAUGUGAGGAAUAAGGCAGAGUUCCUGGUGGAUCUAGUUCAAGCUUUGGGGUACAAUAAAUUGCCUUGUGUUCUUGGGGGUGAUUUUAACUUAAAACUUCCUAAAUGGUCGUUUUAUUUUAAUUCUGUUAUUGAGCAUUGGGGAUUAAAAGAAUUAGAUUUGUCUGGGAGGAGCUAUAUUUGGUCGAAUAAUCAAGAGGAUCCGCUUUUUGCUAAGUUGGAUAGAAGUUUAGUUAGCUCCCUCUGGGAGCAGCAAUUUCCUUUAGUUACUGUCAGAACCUUGGUGAGAGGGGUUUCUGGCCAUGCAGCGCUUCUAUUACAUACAGGGAUUAAAUCU